Molecule: long non-coding RNA, 354 nt
Organism: Suricata suricatta (meerkat)
Lineage: Eukaryota; Metazoa; Chordata; Mammalia; Carnivora; Herpestidae
Exons: 3
Source: RefSeq, a predicted model, not a curated record
CCCGCAAACUUGCUUUAGGGCUUGGACAGCGCCCUGCGUCAGGGCUGUGGCUGCAUCCACUCCGACAGACAAUUACCGGGUCAGGGCUCACGACCGCCGGGACAGGGAGUGGUGCGGUCUUCUCCAACCCAGACAGAAGCUGCGGCUCGGGGAGAAGUAUGUGUCUACUAAGAAGCAUGCCUCUCAGACAUAAAAGGAACAUGUAUCUGAUAAGUGAGGAGUGCUCCUACAGAAGACACACCCAGGCGCUAGCCUCUCCUCUGCAUGUUGUGAUGAGACUGUGUUUGGAAACAGGGGCGCUACGGAUGUAACUGAGCAUGAGCAGAGGAGGGUCAGAGAGAGAGGGAGAUACAG